AACGAACGCUGGCGGCGUGGAUUAGGCAUGCAAGUCGAACGCGAAAGAGGGAGCAAUCCCUCAAGUAGAGUGGCGAACGGGUGAGUAACGCGUGAAGAACCUGCCUUCAACAGGGGGAUAACACUCCCAACGGGGUGCUAAUACCGCAUGAGACCACGGGUCCGCAUGGACCUGAGGUCAAAGGUGGCCUCUGCUUGCAAGCUACCGGUUGAAGAUGGCUUCGCGUCCCAUAGCUAGUUGGCGGUGUAAAAGACCACCAAGGCGACGAUGGUAGCUGGUCUGAGAGGAUGGUCAGCCACACUGGGACUGAGAUACGGCCCAGACUCCUACGGGAGGCAGCAGUAAGGAAUAUUGCGCAAUGGGCGAAAGCCUGACGCAGCGACGCCGCGUGGGGGAGUGAAGGUC
Molecule: ribosomal RNA, 405 nt
Filed under: uncultured bacterium
Lineage: Bacteria
Description: bacterial SSU rRNA
Rfam family: Bacterial small subunit ribosomal RNA
Source: RNAcentral